GUUGUACUCCCUUCGUGCGAAAAUAUUUGUCAUCAAAAUGGAUAAAAAGGGAUGUAUGUAGAACUAAAAUAUGUUUAGAUACAUCUCCUUUUAUCCAUUUUGAUGACAAGUAUCUCCGGACGGAGGGAGUAGCUG
Non-coding RNA from Triticum aestivum (bread wheat), 135 nucleotides. NCBI's taxonomy places the organism in Eukaryota, Viridiplantae, Streptophyta, Magnoliopsida, Poales, Poaceae. The record is from Rfam.